This 445-nucleotide ribosomal RNA is filed under the name uncultured bacterium. Its description in RNAcentral is "bacterial SSU rRNA". It matches the Rfam family "Bacterial small subunit ribosomal RNA", at positions 330 to 792 of the family's 1533-position model. The record is from RNAcentral.
CCCAGACUCCUACGGGAGGCAGCAGUGGGGGAUAUUGCACAAUGGGGGAAACCCUGAUGCAGCGACGCCGCGUGAGUGAAGAAGUAAUUCGUUACGUAAAGCUCUAUCAGCAGGGAAGAAAAUGACGGUACCUGACUAAGAAGCCCCGGCUAACUACGUGCCAGCAGCCGCGGUAAUACGUAGGGGGCAAGCGUUAUCCGGAAUUACUGGGUGUAAAGGGAGCGUAGACGGCGGCGCAAGUCCGGAGUGAAAGCCCGCGGCCCAACCGUGGGACUGCUCUGGAAACUGUGCGGCUUGAGUGCGGGAGGGGCAGGCGGAAUUCCUAGUGUAGCGGUGAAAUGCGUAGAUAUUAGGAGGAACACCGGCGGCGAAGGCGUCUUACUGGACCGAAACUGACGUUGAGGCUCGAAAGCGUGGGGAGCAAACAGGAUUAGAUACCCGAGUA